AACGUAGGAGACAAACGUUAUCCGGAGUUACUGGGCGUAAAGGGCGUGCAGGCGGCGCUUUAAGUUCGGCGUGAAAGCUCCUGGCUAAACCGGGAGAGGUCGUCGGAAACUGGAGUGCUAGAGGGUGAUAGAGGCGGGUGGAAUUCCGGGUGUAGUGGUGAAAUGCGUAGAGAUCCGGAGGAACACCAGUGGCGAAGGCGACCCGCUGGGUCACACCUGACGCUGAGACGCGACAGCAUGGGGAGCGAACGGGAUUAGAAACCCCCGUAGUCC
Molecule: ribosomal RNA, 273 nt
Filed under: uncultured bacterium
Lineage: Bacteria
Description: partial 16S ribosomal RNA
Rfam family: Bacterial small subunit ribosomal RNA
Source: RNAcentral